AAAUUUUAAAAUACAAAUAUAAAUUUUAAAUUUUAAAUUUUUAAAAUUUGAAAAUCUAAAAUUUAUAUUUUAAAAAUAAAUUUGAAAUUUUAAAAUUUAUAUUUUAAAUAUAAAUUUUAAAAUUUAAAUGUUAAGUUCUAAAAUUUUAAAAUAUAAAUUUUAAAUUUAGUGUUCUACAUUUAAAAUUUAAAAUUUAUAUUUAAAAAUUUGAAUUUAAAAUAUAAAACAAAAUUUAAAAUUUGAUAUUUGAAUGUAAGAUCUAAGUUUAAAUUUUGGAAAUUUUAAUUUUAAUUUUAAAAUUCUAAAUAUUAAAUAUUAAAAUUUAAAAUAUAAAUUAUAAAUUAUAUUUUAAAUUUAAGGCUAAAUUACAUAAAACACCCUUAUAGUUAUAAAUACCCACUUUUUACUUUCACUCCUUAACUUUCACUAAUUUAUAUUUUACGGUCUCAAUAUUUCAAAGGGUUCCAUCACUAUUUCGUACAUUUUUUAUAAUUUAUACCGAAAAUACUCUUCAAAAUAACAGAAAUAUAUUAAAAGAUUAUAUUUUUCUUAUAAACUAAGUAAGAAAAAUUUUGUCAUUUUGCCUUCUUUGUUAACGCGGUACCCAUUGAAAAUAUUUUUGAAAUUAUAAGAGAGCAAAAUACAAGUUUUUGAAAAUUAGGAGGUAGAAUAAAAAUGCGGAUGUUUACAAAAAAGUUUUCUUUAUUUUAGCCUAAAUUUAAAUAUCAAAAUUUAAUUUUUUAUCUUAAAUUUUAAAUUUUAAAUUUUAAAUUUUAAAUUUAUAUUUAUAUUUACAUAUAGCAAAAAAAUUUUACCCAACAUAUUUAUAAAAUUAUUUUAGAAAAAUUAUUUUUCUUCCAGAAUUAACCAAACACUAAUUUUUUAACCAAAUUGAAUCUCCAAACAUAAGUUAAUUCUCUAGAAACCUUUUUUUUUUCAAAAGUUAGGCCUCACAUCUUUUAUGCUCUAAAUGCAAAGGACAUUUGCCUUAGUUUUGCAUGGGUACCUGACUAAUACAUAGAAAAUGCAAAGGACAUUUGCAUUAAUUUUGCAUUUGCGCGUCGAGAAAGGCAGUACGGUCGUAUCAUAUCAUCUAUUAUCAACUAAUAAAUUUUUUUACUAUAAUAGAAUUAAAUUAUAGGGAUAUAUUUUUAGGCCCCAUUUGGUUCGGGAGAUAAGCAGGGAUAACGAAAGUUAUUCCCGCUAUUUCGCCAAACGGGAUGAAAUUUGGUCGGAAUAUUUUAUCCCGAUUAAAUUUUGCUAUUCCCGGUUAUUCGGAAUAGCAAGGGAUUUGCUAUUCCACCAUUUUGGUAGAAUAGUGCUAUUCCAAUUCUCAAUUUUAAACUUAAUUAAAAUUAUAAAUUAAAUUAAAACUAAAUUAUAUAAAUAAAAUAUGUUAUAUAUUAUAAUAUAUUAUUUUUAUUAUAAAUUUAUUAAUUAUACUAUAUUAAUACAUAUUAUUUAUAUUUAAAUAUUAUAAUAAAAUUUAUAAUAAAUUAUAUUUAAGUAUUAUAAUAAAUUCUUUUUAUUAAAUUUAAGUUUAAGUAGAAUUUUUAAAAAAUUUAUAAAUUUAUUAUAAUAAAUUAUUUUUAUUAAUUGUUCCCAUCCCUAUUCUUAUUUUAAAAUUUUAAAAAUUAAAAAUUUAAAUUGUUAAAAUUUAUAAUUUAUAAUCUCAAAAUUAAAGUUUAUAAUUUUAAAUUUUAAAUUUUAAAAUUAAAUUUUGAUAUUUUAAUUUUGAAAUUUAAAAUUUUAUAUUUUAUAUUUUUCAAAUUUAAAUUUGAUCUUAAAUUUAAAGUUUGAAAUUUAAAAUUUAAAAUUUAAAAUUUAAAAUUUGAGAUUUUAAAUUUUAAAUUUUGAAAUUUCAAAAUUAAAAUUUUAAAUUUAAAAAUUUAAAAAUUUAAAUUCAAAUAUAAUGAGAGAGUAAUAUCAUUAUUUUUUAUUUAUAAAAACUACUAUCUUCCUUAUUCUAUCUUAUCUAACCAAAAGCUAUUUUUUUAUUCCCAAGAAUAACUCAAUAUUCAUCCAAACACAAAAUUGAUAUAAUUUCCGCUUAUAUCUCAAUUUAUACUUAUCCCUGGAAUAGCCGCUUUUUGCUUAUCCUCGAAUCAAACGAUACCUUAGAACAUUUUUGUGUAAAUAUCCCAUAUAUACUAAAAAUUUUUUAAAAAAUUUACUAAUACCUAAAUAUAAAGUCCAAUCUAACCAAAAAUAAAAAGUUCCUCUACUCAAGUAACCCCACCCAACCCACUAAGCCUAAUUACAAAUAGAAAAAAAAAUAAAAAAUGAUCACUAUCUUUCCUUCGUCUCUUCCUCCUCCGCCGCCGCAGCCGACGAAGUAGAGUUCCGACGGCCGGAGUUUGGCCGCAAGAAUCUCGCAGGAACCGUAGAGGGUUACGAUCGCCACGCGUCCCUCCGUCACAGGUUACCAAAUAUCGAGACGACUCCACAUACAGCGACUCCACAUAUAGCGACAAUUUCAAAAAGUGUCAGUAAUUUAGCCACCAGUAUUUCUUUUACAUGUAUCAAUAUUUAAAAAUAUCGUUAUACACCAUUUUUAUUAAAGUAUUUUUAAUAAAAAUAUAAUAAAAUAUUUUUUAAAAAAAAUUAUGAUAAGAUGGGCAAACUUCAGGAAUGCAUUUUAAUUGAUGAAGACUAUCUUCAGCAAUAUAACUGUCAUAUUUUGAAUUUAUUUUUGUGCAUAACUAGUAGAAGACGUGCCUAAAUUGUGUGUUUGUGUGUGUAAGACAUACACAGUUAAUGCAAAGGACAAUAGCUGUGUGCAAAGGACUUAUGGAUAAGUUGAUAAUGAAGAAAAGGAUAAACUUCAAAUAUCAUCAUGUAGUUUCACAUUUUUUUACUUUAGUAUUUUGUGAUUUAAAGUAUAUCAAGUUAGUAUUCUGUAAUUUUAUUUUUAUCCUUUCAUUAACUUUUCGUUAAUAUUUCAUUAAUUAUAUACAAAAAAUUUCAGAUAUCUCAUCUAUAUUUAUCGAAUAAUCACUUUAGUAUUAUUUAGUUUUAACUUUAUCAUUAAUUUAAUAAAAAAAAUUAGUAAAAUCGAUAAUAAAAAAAUAUAAAAAAAUUAUAGGGCACUAAAUUGAUACAAUUUAAAUUAUAAAUUACUAAAAUGAGAAAAUAUGAAACUACAUGAGUGAUUUUUGAAGUUUUUUCUAAAGAAAAUUGUGGGACGGAAUA
This 3192-nucleotide long non-coding RNA is filed under the name Ananas comosus (pineapple). Its description in RNAcentral is "long non-coding RNA (ACOM_LNC027386)". The record is from RNAcentral. Lineage: Eukaryota; Viridiplantae; Streptophyta; Magnoliopsida; Poales; Bromeliaceae.